CACCGUAUUAGUUCAAAGGUAGAACAGUGUUUUUCCGUAUUAUGUACUACGGCUUUUUCGAUAACGUCGUUGAUACGUCCGUCAACCAUAGUCAUCUUGUUUUCCGCAUAGCCACGGUAUAAAGCAAAGAAAAAACGCAAGCACGGGGUUCGAUUCCCCGAUACGGUGCUCC
This 172-nucleotide transfer RNA is filed under the name Selenomonas ruminantium subsp. lactilytica TAM6421. Its description in RNAcentral is "tRNA-Leu". Lineage: Bacteria; Bacillati; Bacillota; Negativicutes; Selenomonadales; Selenomonadaceae. The record is from RNAcentral.